This 433-nucleotide ribosomal RNA is filed under the name uncultured bacterium. RNAcentral's name for it is "partial 16S ribosomal RNA". It matches the Rfam family "Bacterial small subunit ribosomal RNA", at positions 29 to 507 of the family's 1533-position model. The record is from RNAcentral.
AACGAACGCUGGCGGCAUGCCUAACACAUGCAAGUCGAACGAGACCUUCGGGUCUAGUGGCGCACGGGUGCGUAACGCGUGGGAACCUGCCCUUAGGUUCGGAAUAACUCCCCGAAAGGGGUGCUAAUACCGGAUAAUGUCUUCGGACCAAAGAUUUAUCGCCUUUGGAUGGGCCCGCGUUGGAUUAGCUAGUUGGUAGGGUAAAAGCCUACCAAGGCGACGAUCCAUAGCUGGUCUGUGAGGAGGAUCAGCUACACUGGGACUGAGACACGGCCCAGAAUGCUACGGGAGGCAGCAGUGGGGAAUAUUGGACAAGGGGCGAAAGCCUGAUACAGCAAUGCCGCGUGAGUGAUGAAGGCCUUAGGGUUGUAAAGCUCUUUUACCCGGGAUGAUAAUGACAGUACCGGGAGAAUAAGCUCCGGCUAACUCCGUG